GAGGUUGUGGCUCAGUGGAAGAGCGCUCGCCUAGCAAAUGAGAGGCAAUGGGUUCGAUCCUCAGCACCACA
RNAcentral lists this transfer RNA (71 nucleotides) under Marmota monax (woodchuck). RNAcentral's name for it is "tRNA.Ala". The record is from RNAcentral. Lineage: Eukaryota; Metazoa; Chordata; Mammalia; Rodentia; Sciuridae.